UAUAUAUACAGACAGAGAGGUAUAGGCGUGGCCUUUAGGGUUUGUUGUUAAGUGGUUGCAAUAGUUAAUAUUUGGAAUGAUAUUCGGUUCGAAUGUUUCAAGGAGAUGGUCUUCGUACACUUAUAGUUCUUCUAGUCACAAAUAAUAACAAUAACUUGUUCUUUAUUGUUUGAUCAUAACAAUGACUUGUUGAACAUACCUUUUACAACCAAAAAAAAACUUUACAUU
This 228-nucleotide long non-coding RNA is filed under the name Brassica napus (rape). RNAcentral's name for it is "long non-coding RNA (BNAP_LNC010550)". Lineage: Eukaryota; Viridiplantae; Streptophyta; Magnoliopsida; Brassicales; Brassicaceae. The record is from RNAcentral.